GAUGAACGCUAGCGGCAGGCUUAAUACAUGCAAGUCGAGGGGCAGCAGGACUGUAGCAAUACAGUUGCUGGCGACCGGCAAACGGGUGCGGAACACGUACGCAACCUACCCAAAACUGGGGGAUAGCCCGGGGAAACCCGGAUUAAUACCUCGUAACCUUUUUAAGUGGCAUCACUUGAUAAGUAUAGCUCCGGCGGUUUUGGAUGGGCGUGCGCCUGAUUAGGUAGUUGGUGCGGGUAACGGCCCACCAAGCCUGCGAACAGUAACUGGUGUGAGAGCACGACCAGUCACACGGGCACUGAGACACGGGCCCGACUCCUACGGGAGGCAGCAGUAAGGAAUAUUGGUCAAUGGACGCAAGUCUGAACCAGCCAUGCCGCGUGAAGGAUGAAGGUCCUCUGGAUUGUAAACUUCUUUUAUGGGGGACGAAACCCGGAUAUUCUUAUCCGAUUGACGGUACCUCAGGAAUAAGCACCGGCUAACUCCGU
RNAcentral lists this ribosomal RNA (488 nucleotides) under uncultured bacterium. RNAcentral describes it as "partial 16S ribosomal RNA". It matches the Rfam family "Bacterial small subunit ribosomal RNA", at positions 28 to 506 of the family's 1533-position model. The record is from RNAcentral.